Long non-coding RNA from Haliotis rubra (blacklip abalone), 502 nucleotides. RefSeq lists it as uncharacterized. The record is from RefSeq and is a predicted model, not a curated record. Lineage: Eukaryota; Metazoa; Mollusca; Gastropoda; Lepetellida; Haliotidae. The transcript is spliced from 3 exons.
UUUACAUGUACAUCUGAAGGGAAUAAGAGGAGGGCAAACUUAUUGGCAAAGAUCUCUGUAUUUUUAUGUCCAGGAACAGGUGAAAAAGGUCUUUGAAGAAGAAGAGAAAUGUUGGUGCAUGAAGUCUUUUGCCAACACAGUGAUGAUCCAGAGGAAGCGAGGAAGAAACUGCUAGAAAUAUGGAAUGGGUGAUGCAGACCGUCAUCUAAGAAAACUGCACCUGAGGGUACUGAUGCUGAAAAAGCAUUCAUCUGUUCCGUGAUUUGGAGAAGCUUGUUUCCAAGCAAAAGGGCAAGGGUUUGAAGUCAAAGACCUGCAUUACCAUAGUCAAUGUCACACGUUUUGAAAAUGAUGUAUUGUUACACUUGAAAACUGGGUUGCUUCAUUCCUGAAGUAAGUGCUUGUGAUAAAUUUUUUGACAAAUGGAAAUGCACUGCAAGGACAGGUGAUACCUCUAUGAUAAAGAUAUAUUUAAGAUAUUUUAUAUUUGCAAAUAGCAGUG